CAAGGGCAAGAGAUGCUGUAUUAAAUGCCACCCAGUCACCUUUACUGGAUAUUGGUAUAGAGAGGGCUACUGGAAUUGUUUGGGACAUAACUGGUGGGACUGAUCUGACCUUGUUUGAGAACCAAUGGGUGCAGGGAGGGUCUGAGCACAGUGAAGUGAGGAAGGAGUAAAAUCACGAGGUUGAUAAGGAUAAAAGAGUAUCCCACUAAGUUUCUGAGUUUCAUCCCUCUUUUGUCGCCACAUAGAACAACAUCCACGUCCCAAUUAAUGCUUGUAGCUGAAGUUCUUGAGAGGUGCUGAAAUUGGUUAGGCAAUAACAAAAAACACAUUCCUCUGCUUUCAUUUACUGGAAGUUCAAAGUCAUGCCAAAGGUGAAGCGUUUUAGAAAUCCACAAAAAUCAGCACCUCAACCACAAUGUCCCUCACCAUGUGAUUCCACACAAGCUCCUGAAGUCCCAACUGGUAAUGUCCCUCUUUCUCAUGAAUCAACAUCUGAAGUUCCAGCAAUGAAUCCUGAAAUUUCUUCCCCACCAAGUGAUUCCACACAAGCUCCUGAAGUCCCAACUCGUAAUGUCCCUCUUUCUCAUGUAUCAACAUCUGAAGUUCCACAAGAAGAUGAAACAACUAGACGUCAUGUUGGGCGUGAGUCUACACACUGUUGGACU
Molecule: long non-coding RNA, 665 nt
Organism: Glycine soja
Lineage: Eukaryota; Viridiplantae; Streptophyta; Magnoliopsida; Fabales; Fabaceae
Exons: 4
Source: RefSeq, a predicted model, not a curated record